UUAUUCUGGUUGUUCUUUUCAUUCCAGUUACUCUCUUUUCCGGUUGUUCUCUUUAUUUUCGUUGUUCUCUUUUAUUCCGGUUGUUCUUUUCCUUCCAGUUGUUCUCUUUUCGGGUUGUUCAUUUCAUUCCGGUUGUUCUCUUUUCCGGUUGUUCUCUUUUCUGGUUGUUCUCCUUUCCG
RNAcentral lists this long non-coding RNA (179 nucleotides) under Numida meleagris (helmeted guineafowl). RNAcentral's name for it is "lncRNA (ENSNMEG00000002573.1)". Lineage: Eukaryota; Metazoa; Chordata; Aves; Galliformes; Numididae. The record is from RNAcentral.